RNAcentral lists this ribosomal RNA (334 nucleotides) under Cyanobacteria bacterium UBA8543. Its description in RNAcentral is "bacterial SSU rRNA". It matches the Rfam family "Bacterial small subunit ribosomal RNA", at positions 1 to 360 of the family's 1533-position model. The record is from RNAcentral. Lineage: Bacteria; Bacillati; Cyanobacteriota.
UCAAAAUGGAGAGUUUGAUCCUGGCUCAGGAUGAACGCUGGCGGUCUGCUUAACACAUGCAAGUCGAACGGGAGUAGAAAUACUCCAGUGGCGGACGGGUGAGUAACGCGUGAGAAUCUGCCUUCUGGUCGGGGACAACCAUUGGAAACGAUGGCUAAUACCGGAUGAGCCUGCGGGUAAAAGAUUAAUUGCCAGAAGAGGAGCUCGCGUCUGAUUAGCUAGUUGGUGGGGUAAAAGCUCACCAAGGCGUCGAUCAGUAGCUGGUCUGAGAGGACGAUCAGCCACACUGGGACUGAGACACGGCCCAGACUCCUACGGGAGGCAGCAGUGGGGA